This 1847-nucleotide long non-coding RNA is filed under the name Apteryx rowi (Okarito brown kiwi). Its description in RNAcentral is "lncRNA (ENSARWG00000012149.1)". The record is from RNAcentral. Lineage: Eukaryota; Metazoa; Chordata; Aves; Apterygiformes; Apterygidae.
GAAGGAGCUCCUUUGGUAUUGUUAAAACCAUCUGAAUAUACAGCACCUGUCGUGUUGUGGAUGCUGCUAGAAACAAACAAUACAUCAGAAUAAAGAUAGUACUUCACGUAGGUGAAACCRGGUCUCAGAUCAGUGUUCCUUACAAGAACUGCUGUGCAAUCAUGUUUUCAAAUGUGCAAGCAAAGCUGAAUAAACAUCUGGGAUCCAUACAUUGCUUCUGAGAGUAAUACCUAACUUCUGUGUAAGGUGUUUAAACCUAAGACUUUACAAAGGAGGUCAGUAUCACUACCCCAGUUUCACAGAUGGAGAAAUCAAAGAAAGGGAGAUGAAAUGACUUGUACAAAAUUUGACAACAGGCUUAGUUUGGAAUAGGAACCAGUCUCCUGACAGCCAUGGAAAUAGCUGAGGUCUCUUUCUUUGUCUGGCAAAGAUGACUCAGAGUCAACAAUGAGAGCAAAACUGAGAGAAGUUCCUGAAAUGGACAGUCAAGAUCAUGACGUUAUAAAUAAUGGAAUGAUUAAAUCUGAGCUGCUUCUUGUUGUUGCUGUUGUUUCCCAGUGUGGCGAGUUCCUUUCCUGACCAAAGCUAACCAGGGAAGGAAGGAAAGAAACCAAACCAAAGGAUCUGAUGAACUGGUCUGAAUGGAAACGUUUACUGGGCCGAUGGAGGGACAGGCUGAUUCCCAGCAGCAGGCUAGAAUAAGCUGUUCSUCUGCAAGCGCUGGUGGCUGUGCUGUUGUCAGAGAGCAGAUCCUGAAGAGUGUGAUUGCAUGCAUUCCUGCAUGCAUUUCGGAGAGGCACCAUUGAGAAGUAUCUGCUAGACCAUGUUGGCUUUCCCUGAGGAGGAGCAGCCAAAAAAACCCCAAAGCCCACAGCAUUUUAAGCACGUGGAACGCUUGUAAUAGGUGAGAGACUGAUUGCACUGGAAACAGAAGUCUUAUCUGCUGAGCAGCUACUGGAUAUCGCAGGGAACAGCUUCCCUUGCAACGCCCGCAUGGCAGCACGCCAUGGCCCUGUCCUGGGGUGACCAGUUGUUAGUCGGAGAUGCCUUGUGACCCGUUCAUUCACGGGCCUAGGGGCCAAACUGUACAACAAGGGCGCCGGCUUGCUGGGUGCUAAAUUGAGGCCUACCGACUCKGUUUGUAUAGACUUUUAUUUUUCAGCAGAGCCAGACUCGAACCUCUGUAAAAGAUGGUGGGAAUUCUCAUCCAUCCGAGCUGCUGGCUGCAAACUUCACAACAGGAUUUCUGCCUCCAGUUGCAACUCACUGCUGCAGCCUUGUAUUCCAAGUCCAGCUUAUGGGGAAACAUAAAACAGAGAUGAACUCCUCUUUUCCUUUUCUGUGUGCCYGAAGCCUAUCCUCACGUUCUUUGCAGCUGGUUACUGCGCUAGUUCCCUGAAUCUCAUUCAGAGUGCUGCACCUACAAGCCAGAUACUUGUCAUCUCUUUAAAAGAUGUUUGUUUCCACAGAAAAAUAGCAAUGAGGUUACUGUCUGCUCCCUUCACAGGCAGGCAGGCUGGGAGAAGUUCAAAUAUCCAAUCAUCUCUUGGAAUUUGUAUUGCAUAAAGAUAAAGUAGCCAAAAAUAGUUUCCAUGAACUGGAUGGUUCUGCAGCUUUCUGUGUUUAUCUACAGGAAAAUGUUAAGAAGUACAGUAGGUCAUGCACUAAACUGAGCAAAACCGUGGGGCAUGUAGAAGCUCACCRAGACGAGCUUAUUUAUUUAUUUGAUUAACUUAACCUCUCUCUGUGUGAGCACUGCCUGCAGUUUCCUUGCAUUGCUCUUGUGUUUAUUUGAUAAACAGAAAAAGCAACGCCGCUUCACCCUGAGGAAUUACAGAGAUGCUUGA